Molecule: ribosomal RNA, 403 nt
Filed under: Verrucomicrobiota bacterium
Lineage: Bacteria; Pseudomonadati; Verrucomicrobiota
Description: Verrucomicrobia bacterium partial 16S ribosomal RNA
Rfam family: Bacterial small subunit ribosomal RNA
Source: RNAcentral
UGGGGAAUAUUGCACAAUGGGCGCAAGCCUGAUGCAGCAACGCCGCGUGAACGAUGAAGGUCUUCGGAUCGUAAAGUUCUGUUGCAGGGGAAGAUAAUGACGGUACCCUGUGAGGAAGCCCCGGCUAACUACGUGCCAGCAGCCGCGGUAAUACGUAGGGGGCUAGCGUUAUCCGGAUUUACUGGGCGUAAAGGGUGCGUAGGUGGUCUUUCAAGUCGUUGGUUAAAGGCUACGGCUCAACCGUAGUUAGCGUCCGAAACUGGAAGACUUGAGUGCAGGAGAGGAAAGUGGAAUUCCCAGUGUAGCGGUGAGAUGCGUAGAUAUUGGGAGGAACACCAGUAGCGAGGGCGGCUUUCUGGACUGCAACUGACACUGAGGCACGAAAGCGUGGGUAGCAAACAGG